AGAGGUUGAUCCUGGCUCAGAUUGAACGCUGGCGGCGUGGAUUAGGCAUGCAAGUCGAACGGGAUCGUUUUGAUUCAAUUCUUCGGAAAAGAAACAGGACGUGAGAGUGGCGAACGGGUGAGUAAUGCUUGAGCAAUCUGCCCUUAAGUCCGGGACAGCCCGCGGAAACGCGGAUUAAUACCGGAUGUGUUCGGAUGCCGCAUGGCAUCCUGUGUAAAGGUGGGGAUCUUCGGACCUGCCGCUUAAGGAUGAGCUCAAGUCCUAUCAGCUUGUUGGUGAGGUAAUGGCUCACCAAGGCAUUGACGGGUAGCCGGCCUGAGAGGGUGACCGGCCACACUGGGACUGAGACACUGCCCAGACUCCUACGGGAGGCUGCGGUCGAGAAUCAUUCGCAAUGCACGAAAGUGUGACGAUGCGACGCCGCGUGGAGGACGAAGGCCUUAGGGUUGUAAACUCCUGUCAGCAGGGAGCAAGAGUCAAGCGGUUAACACCCGCAGGGCUUGAUAGUACCUGCAGAGGAAGUCACGGCUAACUCUGUGCCAGCAGCCGCGGUAAUACAGAGGUGGCAAGCGUUAAUCGGAUUUACUGGGCGUAAAGGGUCCGCAGGCGGUCGGGUGUGUCAAAUGUGAAAUCUCACGGCUUAACCGUGAAACGGCAUUCGAAACUACCCGACUAGAGUACUGGAGGGGAGAAGGGAACACUUGGUGUAGCGGUGAAAUGCGUAGAUAUCAAGUGGAACACCGGUGGCGAAGGCGCUUCUCUGGACAGAUACUGACGCUCAUGGACGAAAGCUAGGGUAGCGAAAGGGAUUAGAUACCCCUGUAGUCCUAGCCGUAAACGGUGCACACUUGUCGUGGGAGGUUUAACCCCCUUCCGUGACGGAGCUAACGCGUUAAGUGUGCCGCCUGGGGAGUACGGCCGCAAGGCUAAAACUCAAAGGAAUUGACGGGGGCCCGCACAAGCGGUGGAGCAUGUGGCUUAAUUCGAUGCAACGCGAAGAACCUUACCUGGACUUGACAUGGAAACCCUUCGGGGGCGGGUGUGAAAGCACCCUUGUUCACACAGGUGCUGCAUGGCUGUCGUCAGCUCGUGCCGUGAGGUGUUGGGUUAAGUCCCGCAACGAGCGCAACCCCUAUGUUUAGUUGUCAUCAGGUUAUGCUGGACCCUCUAAACAGACUGCCCGUGACAAGCGGGAGGAAGGUGGGGAUGACGUCAAGUCAGUAUGGUCCUUAUGUCCAGGGCUGCACACGUGCUACAAUGGGCGGUACAACGGGAAGCAAUACCGUGAGGUGGAGCCAAUCCUUAAAACCGUCCUCAGUUCGGAUUGGAGUCUGCAACUCGACUCCAUGAAGUUGGAAUCGCUAGUAAAGGUGUAUCAGCAACGACGCCUUGAAUACGUUCCCGGGCCUUGUACACACCGCCCGUCACAUCAUGGAAGCUGGCUGCACCCGAAGUCGUUGAUCCAACCCGUCAAGGGGGGAAGACGCCGAAGGUGUGGUAAGUAACUGGGAUGAAGUCGUAACAAGGUA
Molecule: ribosomal RNA, 1529 nt
Filed under: metagenome
Description: bacterial SSU rRNA
Rfam family: Bacterial small subunit ribosomal RNA
Source: RNAcentral